UUUGGGUACACAUGAGGAGGGAGAGGUUCCCUAAACAAAGGAAGUCCAAACUUCAACCUAGAGAAGACAGACCUUUCCAAGUCCAAUCAUGUUUUCUUAUUAAUUAGUGAAUUUUUUAACACUAAUAGGGCUUACAAAUUAAGCUCUGUGUAGUUCUCAUGUGUGUUAUAAGCUUAUAGCCUUUAGGAAUCUGAGACACAACUUUGAAAUGAUAUAUAACUCUCAUGUAAAGGAUCCUCAUUCGAUGAUAUAUAACUAAAAAUGACUCUUCA
Molecule: long non-coding RNA, 272 nt
Filed under: Glycine max (soybean)
Lineage: Eukaryota; Viridiplantae; Streptophyta; Magnoliopsida; Fabales; Fabaceae
Description: long non-coding RNA (GMAX_LNC001047)
Source: RNAcentral